UAGGGAAUCUUCCACAAUGGGCGAAAGCCUGAUGGAGCAACGCCGCGUGUGUGAUGAAGGGUUUCGGCUCGUAAAACACUGUUGUAAGAGAAGAAUGACAAUGAGAGUAACUGUUCAAUGUGUGACGGUAUCUUACCAGAAAGGAACGGCUAAAUACGUACCAG
Molecule: ribosomal RNA, 164 nt
Filed under: uncultured bacterium
Lineage: Bacteria
Description: partial 16S rRNA
Rfam family: Bacterial small subunit ribosomal RNA
Source: RNAcentral